This 429-nucleotide ribosomal RNA is filed under the name Acidobacteriota bacterium. Its description in RNAcentral is "Acidobacteria bacterium partial 16S ribosomal RNA". It matches the Rfam family "Bacterial small subunit ribosomal RNA", at positions 355 to 776 of the family's 1533-position model. Lineage: Bacteria; Pseudomonadati; Acidobacteriota. The record is from RNAcentral.
UGGGGAAUUUUGGACAAUGGGGGAAACCCUGAUCCAGCCAUCCCGCGUGUGCGAUGAAGGCCUUCGGGUUGUAAAGCACUUUUGGCAGGAAAGAAACGUCAUGGGUUAAUACCCCGUGAAACUGACGGUACCUGCAGAAUAAGCACCGGCUAACUACGUGCCAGCAGCCGCGGUAAUACGUAGGGUGCAAGCGUUAAUCGGAAUUACUGGGCGUAAAGCGUUCGCAGGCGGUUCGGAAAGAAAGAUGUGAAAUCCCAGAGCUCAACUUUGGAACUGCCUUUUUAACCACCGGGCUAGAGUGUGUCAGAGGGAGGUGGAAUUCCGCGUGUAGCAGUGAAAUGCGUAGAUAUGCGGCGGAACACCGAUGGCGAAGGCAGCCUCCUGGGAUAACACUGACGCUCAUGCACGAAAGCGUGGGGAGCAAACAGG